UGGUGACUCACUCUGUGCCAGGAGGAAACUGAGGCUCAGGGUGAUUAAGCAACCUGCUCAAGAUCCAAUUACAAACCGGUGUGACAGGACGAUGAAAUAAUGAAAGUAUCCUGGCAACCGUAUUUUCCUACCGACUGUGGCCUGCAACACUGUGACGACCGUCAGCUACAUUUUUCUGAAUUCAGGAGGCAACUACAAAACAACUGAUGAGUGCAAAAAUGAAAGAAUCAGAGCUUGCUGAGACACGCUUGCUUGUGAUGAUACAAAUAGUUCUCUCUCAGGACAGAGAGAGGUGUCUGUCGUCUUUACCAUUUCAAGCCAACGCUCAGCAUAGUGUCUGGUACAUCAAAGAAACCCAAGUGAAAAUUAAUACCAUGUGAUACAUGGUUUAUGUUGUCUUCUUCCACCUAUUCACUAUAAUUUGGAAAUGCUGAUGAGUAGAAUAAAUAUUCAAGAGAGAUGUGACGGAACAGAGGAGAGAAAAAGAAGUCUGAG
This 495-nucleotide long non-coding RNA is filed under the name Equus caballus (horse). RNAcentral's name for it is "lncRNA (ENSECAG00000057084.1)". Lineage: Eukaryota; Metazoa; Chordata; Mammalia; Perissodactyla; Equidae. The record is from RNAcentral.